RNAcentral lists this ribosomal RNA (305 nucleotides) under uncultured eukaryote. RNAcentral's name for it is "SSU rRNA". It matches the Rfam family "Eukaryotic small subunit ribosomal RNA", at positions 13 to 319 of the family's 1831-position model. The record is from RNAcentral.
CCUGCCAGUAGUCAUAUGCUUGUCUCAAAGAUUAAGCCAUGCAUGUCUAAGUACAAGCCUCACUAAGGUGAAACCGCGAAUGGCUCAUUAAAUCACACCUAAUCUACUGGAUAGUAAAAAGUUACUUGGAUAACUGCGGUAAUUCUGGAGCUAAUACAUGCACAAAGCCGCGACUCACGAAGCGGCGCUUUUAUUAGAUCAAAACCAAACGGCUUCGGCUGUACUCAUGGUGACUCUGAAUAACUUUGGGCUGAUCGCAUAGCCUUGAGCUGGCGACAUAUCCUUCGAAGGUGUGCCCUAUCAAA